Molecule: ribosomal RNA, 659 nt
Filed under: Vibrio owensii
Lineage: Bacteria; Pseudomonadati; Pseudomonadota; Gammaproteobacteria; Vibrionales; Vibrionaceae
Description: bacterial SSU rRNA
Rfam family: Bacterial small subunit ribosomal RNA
Source: RNAcentral
UUGUCUGAACCUUCGGGGAACGAUAACGGCGUCGAGCGGCGGACGGGUGAGUAAUGCCUGGGAAAUUGCCCUGAUGUGGGGGAUAACCAUUGGAAACGAUGGCUAAUACCGCAUAAUAGCUUCGGCUCAAAGAGGGGGACCUUCGGGCCUCUCGCGUCAGGAUAUGCCCAGGUGGGAUUAGCUAGUUGGUGAGGUAAUGGCUCACCAAGGCGACGAUCCCUAGCUGGUCUGAGAGGAUGAUCAGCCACACUGGAACUGAGACACGGUCCAGACUCCUACGGGAGGCAGCAGUGGGGAAUAUUGCACAAUGGGCGCAAGCCUGAUGCAGCCAUGCCGCGUGUAUGAAGAAGGCCUUCGGGUUGUAAAGUACUUUCAGCAGUGAGGAAGGUGGAUGUGUUAAUAGCGCAUUCAUUUGACGUUAGCUGCAGAAGAAGCACCGGCUAACUCCGUGCCAGCAGCCGCGGUAAUACGGAGGGUGCGAGCGUUAAUCGGAAUUACUGGGCGUAAAGCGCAUGCAGGUGGUUUGUUAAGUCAGAUGUGAAAGCCCGGGGCUCAACCUCGGAAUAGCAUUUGAAACUGGCAGACUAGAGUACUGUAGAGGGGGGUAGAAUUUCAGGUGUAGCGGUGAAAUGCGUAGAGAUCUGAAGGAAUACCGGUGG